ACGCAUAGGAAUCUGCCCGGUAGUGGGGGAUAACCUGGGGAAACUCAGGCUAAUACCGCAUACGUCCUACGGGAGAAAGCAGGGGACCUUCGGGCCUUGCGCUAUCGGAUGAGCCUAUGCCGGAUUAGCUGGUUGGUGAGGUAACGGCUCACCAAGGCGACGAUCCGUAGCUGGUCUGAGAGGAUGAUCAGCCACAUCGGGACUGAGACACGGCCCGAACUCCUACGGGAGGCAGCAGUGGGGAAUAUUGGACAAUGGGCGCAAGCCUGAUCCAGCCAUGCCGCGUGUGUGAAGAAGGCCCUCGGGUUGUAAAGCACUUUCAGUGGGGAAGAAGGCCUUUCGGUUAAUACCCGGGAGGAGCGACAUCACCCACAGAAGAAGCACCGGCUAACUCCGUGCCAGCAGCCGCGGUAAUACGGAGGGUGCGAGCGUUAAUCGGAAUUACUGGGCGUAAAGCGCGCGUAGGCGGCGUGAUAAGCCGGUUGUGAAAGCCCCGGGCUCAACCUGGGAACGGCAUCCGGAACUGUCAGGCUAGAGUGCAGGAGAGGAAGGUAGAAUUCCCGGUGUAGCGGUGAAAUGCGUAGAGAUCGGGAGGAAUACCAGUGGCGAAGGCGGCCUUCUGGACUGACACUGACGCUGAGGUGCGAAAGCGUGGGUAGCAAACAGGAUUAGAUACCCUGGUAGUCCACGCCGUAAACGAUGUCGACUAGCCGUUGGGGUCCUCGAGACCUUUGUGGCGCAGUUAACGCGAUAAGUCGACCGCCUGGGGAGUACGGCCGCAAGGUUAAAACUCAAAUGAAUUGACGGGGGCCCGCACAAGCGGUGGAGCAUGUGGUUUAAUUCGAUGCAACGCGAAGAACCUUACCUACCCUUGACAUCGUGCGAACUUGGUAGAGAUACCUUGGUGCCUUCGGGAGCGCACAGACAGGUGCUGCAUGGCCGUCGUCAGCUCGUGUUGUGAAAUGUUGGGUUAAGUCCCGUAACGAGCGCAACCCUUGUCCCUAUUUGCCAGCGAUUCGGUCGGGAACUCUAGGGAGACUGCCGGUGACAAACCGGAGGAAGGUGGGGACGACGUCAGGUCAUCAUGGCCCUUACGGGUAGGGCUACACACGUGCUACAAUGGCCGGUACAAAGGGAGGCGAAGCCGCGAGGUGGAGCGAAUCCCGAAAAGCCGGUCUCAGUCCGGAUCGGAGUCUGCAACUCGACUCCGUGAAGUCGGAAUCGCUAGUAAUCGUGAAUCAGAAUGUCACGGUGAAUACGUUCCCGGGCCUUGUACA
RNAcentral lists this ribosomal RNA (1277 nucleotides) under Halomonas sp. RNAcentral describes it as "bacterial SSU rRNA". It matches the Rfam family "Bacterial small subunit ribosomal RNA", at positions 113 to 1387 of the family's 1533-position model. The record is from RNAcentral. Lineage: Bacteria; Pseudomonadati; Pseudomonadota; Gammaproteobacteria; Oceanospirillales; Halomonadaceae.